Molecule: ribosomal RNA, 482 nt
Filed under: uncultured bacterium
Lineage: Bacteria
Description: bacterial SSU rRNA
Rfam family: Bacterial small subunit ribosomal RNA
Source: RNAcentral
UUGAACGCUGGCGGCAUGCUUUACACAUGCAAGUCGAACGGCAGCGGGGGCUUCGGCCUGCCGGCGAGUGGCGCACGGGUGAGUAAUGCCUCGGAACGUACCCAGUCGUGGGGGAUAACUACGCGAAAGCGUGGCUAAUACCGCAUACGCCCUGAGGGGGAAAGCGGGGGACCUUCGGGCCUCGCGCGAUUGGACCGGCUGCUGUCGGCUUAGCUGGUUGGUGGGGUAAAGGCCUACCAAGGCGACGAUCCGUAGCUGGUCUGAGAGGAGGAUCAGCCACACUGGGACGGAGACACGGCCCAGACUCCUACGGGAGGCAGCAGUGGGGAAUUUUGGACAAUGGGCGCAAGCCUGAUCCAGCCAUGCCGCGUGAGUGAAGAAGGCCUUCGGGUUGUAAAGCUCUUUCAGACGGAAAGAAAUCGGGCGCGUGAAUAGCGUGCCUGGAUGACGGUACUGUCAGAAGAAGCACCGGCUAACUACGU